GUUGAAACACCGUUUCUCGUACGAUCACCGAAGUUAAGCAAUGUCGAGCCUGGUGAUUACCUAGAUGGGUGACCGAUUAGGAAUACCUGGUGCUGUU
This is a non-coding RNA of Acanthosepion pharaonis, 97 nucleotides long. The record is from the annotation of a GenBank genome assembly. Lineage: Eukaryota; Metazoa; Mollusca; Cephalopoda; Sepiida; Sepiidae.